RNAcentral lists this ribosomal RNA (438 nucleotides) under uncultured bacterium. RNAcentral describes it as "bacterial SSU rRNA". It matches the Rfam family "Bacterial small subunit ribosomal RNA", at positions 338 to 795 of the family's 1533-position model. The record is from RNAcentral.
CCUACGGGGCGCACCAGUGGGGAAUAUUGGACAAUGGGCGAAUGCCUGAUCCAGCAAUGCCGCGUGUGUGAAGAAGGUCUUCGGAUUGUAAAGCACUUUCGACGGGGACGAUGAUGACGGUACCCGUAGAAGAAGCCCCGGCUAACUUCGUGCCAGCAGCCGCGGUAAUACGAAGGGGGCUAGCGUUGCUCGGAAUGACUGGGCGUAAAGGGCGCGUAGGCGGUUUAUGCAGUCAGAUGUGAAAUCCCCGGGCUUAACCUGGGAACUGCAUUUGAGACGCAUAGACUAGAGGUCGAGAGGGUUGUGGAAUUCCCAGUGUAGAGGUGAAAUUCGUAGAUAUUGGGAAGAACACCGAUGGCGAAGGCGGCAACCUGGCUCGAUACUGACGCUGAGGCGCGAAAGCGUGGGGAGCAAACAGGAUUAGAUACCCUCGUAGUC